Molecule: ribosomal RNA, 253 nt
Filed under: uncultured Pseudomonadaceae bacterium
Lineage: Bacteria; Pseudomonadati; Pseudomonadota; Gammaproteobacteria; Pseudomonadales; Pseudomonadaceae
Description: partial 16S ribosomal RNA
Rfam family: Bacterial small subunit ribosomal RNA
Source: RNAcentral
UACAGAGGGUGCAAGCGUUAAUCGGAAUUACUGGGCGUAAAGCGCGCGUAGGUGGUUCGUUAAGUUGGAUGUGAAAGCCCCGGGCUCAACCUGGGAACUGCAUCCAAAACUGGCGAGCUAGAGUAUGGUAGAGGGUGGUGGAAUUUCCUGUGUAGCGGUGAAAUGCGUAGAUAUAGGGAGGAACACCAGUGGCGAAGGCGACCACCUGGACUGAUACUGACACUGAGGUGCGAAAGCGUGGGGAGCAAACAGG